Molecule: ribosomal RNA, 431 nt
Filed under: uncultured Alphaproteobacteria bacterium
Lineage: Bacteria; Pseudomonadati; Pseudomonadota; Alphaproteobacteria
Description: bacterial SSU rRNA
Rfam family: Bacterial small subunit ribosomal RNA
Source: RNAcentral
AACGCGAAGAACCUUACCAGCCCUUGACAUGUCCCGUACGGGGCCGAGAGAUCGGCCUCAUCAGUUCGGCUGGCGGGAACACAGGUGCUGCAUGGCUGUCGUCAGCUCGUGUCGUGAGAUGUUGGGUUAAGUCCCGCAACGAGCGCAACCCUCACCUUCAGUUGCCAUCAGGUUAAGCUGGGCACUCUGAAGGAACUGCCGGUGACAAGCCGGAGGAAGGCGGGGAUGACGUCAAGUCCUCAUGGCCUUUAUGGGCUGGGCUACACACGUGCUACAAUGGCGGUGACAGAGGGAGGCAAAGGGGCGACCCCUAGCCAAUCUCGAAAAGCCGUCUCAGUUCGGAUUGUUCUCUGCAACUCGAGAGCAUGAAGCUGGAAUCGCUAGUAAUCGCGGAUCAGCACGCCGCGGUGAAUACGUUCCCGGGCCUUGUA